UACGUAGGCAGCGAGCGUUGUUCGGAGUUACUGGGCGUAAAGGGUGUGUAGGCGGUUGUUUAAGUUUGGUGUGAAAUCUCCCGGCUCAACUGGGAGGGUGCGCCGAAUACUGAAUGACUUCGAGUGCGGGAGAGGAGAGUGGAAUUCCUGGUGUAGCGGUGAAAUGCGUAGAUAUCAGGAGGAACACCGGUGGUGUAGACGGCUCUCUGGACCGUAACUGACGCUGAGACGCGAAAGCGUGGGGAGCGAACAGG
RNAcentral lists this ribosomal RNA (254 nucleotides) under uncultured bacterium. RNAcentral describes it as "partial 16S ribosomal RNA". It matches the Rfam family "Bacterial small subunit ribosomal RNA", at positions 524 to 776 of the family's 1533-position model. The record is from RNAcentral.